Arachis ipaensis is the source of this 517-nucleotide non-coding RNA. The record is from RefSeq and is a predicted model, not a curated record. Lineage: Eukaryota; Viridiplantae; Streptophyta; Magnoliopsida; Fabales; Fabaceae.
CCAUAACAAGUUCACAAAUUAACUAACAACAAUUAUUCAAUAAUUGUUAUAAAAAAAUACCUAGAAGAUAGAAGCCCUAGAACAGAGCAGAGCAUAUCUUGAGCAAGAGGGGGACAAGGGCACGACCGAAGGGAUGACAGGUGGAACAGAGAUAGCCCCGGCGACGAUGGAACCGAGCUGCGCGACGGUGCUAAGCUGAAACAGUAGCUGCACGAUGGUGGAACAAAGCUGCACGAUAACGACGGUGGCUUCAAAGCUCCUUUCGGCGACGGCGGCGGGAGAUGGACGGAGGUGAGGGAGUGAGAUCGAUGACGGAGAGAGGAAGGAGGAGCUCGAAGGCGAUGGGAGGGAUGGGUUCGCGUUUAGCCGUUGUGUGGAGCUAAGGUUACUGGGUUGGGUAAUUGGCUAGGGCAUCCCAGCAAAACGAUGGCGUCUUGCGUGCGACGCAGAGACAGAUGAGAGAGAUCGAGGAGCAGAGAGAGACAGAGAGAGAGGAUAGGAAGAGGAGAGAAGAAGA